AUCAUCGAGUACGGUCGUGUCGCGGAUGAAAAAAAAGUGAUAAAUAUAUAGCAUAAGUGAAGCACUGCAAAUGCUUUUAGCACAUACUCGCCCUAGAAUCCACCGACAUCGACAUCCAUCGACAAGUUCGCAAAUAAGUGGCAAGUGCUGGCCAAGCCAAUUGAUUAAACGCUCUAAUUGAACUAAAAUAUAACAAGCGCGAGUGAGAGAUAUAGACAGCGAGACCGAGGUAUUGAAACGCUGCCAAAGAAAUCUUGCCACCAACACACAUUUUUUUGCAUUCACUCUUUGCUCUCGGCCGCUUUCAUCGCGCGUUGUUUGUUCCUCUGUGUGUGUGUGUUUUUUUGCCGCGUUGCCUGGCUGACUCGUUCGUAGUCUGUGGUAUUUGUUGUUGUCGUUGGGAAUCGCCCUAAAGGCCCUCUUGGAAUAGUGUGCAGCAAGAGGCACGUGAAUGUCGCAAAAACACCAGAAGCAGUCUUACCAACCGCUCCCCACCGCCGCGGCCGCCAUGGACAAUCCGGCGAUGAGCCAGAGCAGUAGCAGUGGCGGCAGUAAUGAUGAUGUCGCCAACAUACCUCCGACUUACUCGUCACAACAGUUGAUGCCCUCGGACUCUGACAGCAUGGAAGAGGAGCGUCAAUUACGUCCUACUGGAGCUACCGCCAAUCUCGGAACCGGCCUUGGUAUACCGCCCGUGCCCACACGCCUCUCCGCGGUCGGCCGGUCACAAUGGUUUACCGUUGCUGUGCUCUGCUUUGUCAAUCUCAUCAACUAUAUGGACCGCUUCACGAUUGCGGGGGUGCUGAAGGAUGUGCAAGAUGACUUUCAAAUCGGCAACGAUAGUGCGGGACUCCUACAGACAGUCUUUGUCAUCUCGUACAUGAUCUGUGCUCCAGUCUUCGGAUAUCUGGGGGAUAGGUACUCCCGGCCCUGGAUCAUGGCCGUGGGUGUGGCCCUAUGGUGCACCACAACGCUAUUGGGAUCGUACAUGCAAAGCUUCGGCUGGUUCAUCACGUUCCGGGCUCUGGUAGGGAUCGGCGAGGCCUCGUACAGCACCAUAGCGCCAACGAUAAUAUCGGAUCUCUUCGUGAACGACAUGCGAUCGAAGAUGCUGGCGAUGUUCUACUUUGCCAUUCCCGUGGGCUCCGGCAUGGGAUACAUUGUGGGCUCCAAGACGGCUCACCUGGCCAACAACUGGCGCUGGGCGCUGCGCGUGACCCCCAUUCUGGGCGUGGUGGCUGUGCUGCUGAUUAUGCUGAUCAAGGAUCCGGAGCGCGGCCAUAGCGAGGGAUCGCACAACAUGGAGGCCACCUCCUACAGGCAGGACAUCAAGGAGCUGCUCAAGAACCGCUCCUUCAUGCUCUCCACGGCCGGAUUCACGUGCGUGGCCUUUGUGGCCGGAGCGCUGGCCUGGUGGGGACCCUCCUUCAUCUACCUAGGCAUGAAGAUGCAUCCGGGCAACGAGAACAUCGUUCAGGACGACGUUGCAUUCAAUUUCGGAGUGAUCACAAUGGUGGCGGGCCUGCUGGGCGUGCCCCUGGGCUCGUUCUUGUCACAGUAUCUGGUGAAGCGCUAUCAAUCGGCGGAUCCAGUGAUCUGCGCCUUCGGUCUGCUGCUCAGCGCACCGCUACUGUUCGGUGCCUGCCUGAUGGUGUCGUCGAACGAGCUGGGCACCUAUUUGCUAAUAUUUUUCGGACAGUUAGCUUUAAAUUUGAAUUGGGCGGUUGUGGCGGACAUCUUGCUGUAUGUAGUGGUGCCUACGCGUCGCUCCACAGCGGAGGCCUUCCAAAUACUCAUCUCACACGCCCUGGGCGAUGCGGGCAGUCCCUAUCUGGUGGGAGCGAUGUCGGAGGUGAUCAUGAAGCAUCUGCGCAACCAUCCCGGCGCUUCGGGCUUGACAAAUGAACUGCAAAGCAUGUCUCAGGUGCUGGAGUCGCAACUCCUAAAUGCCACGGAUGUGGCCACAAAAGUGGCAACGGAGGCUAUCCAUUCGUUCCAAACGAAUUUAACAAAAUCAGCUGAACAGCUGGAAGGACAGUUUACGGAAAUCGAGCAGUUUGAGGGCCUUCAAUACGCGCUGUUCUCCACCAGCUUUGUGGAGGUGCUGGGCGGCAUCUUCUUCCUGUUCACCGCCUGCUUCAUACUCAAGGACAAAUACAAGGCCGCGCGAAGUGUAGCUGGCGAUAAGAGACUGACGUCAGUGGCCGCGCAAGACGUUGAGUCUGUCAAUUCGGAAUGUUUCGUCCUGUGCACGGACAUUGCCCUGCGAGAACGCGCGUGAGGCGCUUUUUAGGCGCUCUCAAAAGAUUACUAUUUUGGCCUCAGAUCCCGCAAGAUGCUCAGGAGCAGCACCAGCAGCGGGGCAACCAGAUUGCCUAAUACCAGCCUAUACUUGAGGUUAUGCUGCGCACUCAGAGCACUGAUGGCAUUUUGGGUGAACUCAUACUGACUGAAAAUCAUCUUUAAUUUAAUCUCCACACACACACACACACGAGACCCCCGGAUUGGUUUCUUUUGGAAUUUGGAUCAUAGGGAGGCAUAGGGAUGGAUGCAUGCUCAAGUUUCUAUCAGAAUGGAAAGGAUAGAAUAGCCCCGAUAUCCAUACAUACCUAAACAGUUCAGCUAUGUAGAUAUAUAUACAUACUUACAUACGUACACUCUCAAUCACCCACUCCCAAACUCGCGAGUCAUAUACAUAUACAUUUUAAUCGGUUCAUUUUACCUGUAAACGCUAAUUUACAUAGUCGUAGAUAGACCUAGUUCUGGUAUUUUAGGCUAAAGAAAAAUUAAAAUGGAGAAAAAAAAUAAAGCAAGCAAAAACACUUCAUGCGUUUUCGAGGAUGUCACUCCUCUACUUCACUUCACCGCUCUCCAAUCAAGACCCAGACUGUUGUAAAUAGUUAAAGAAAUCCUAUCUUCAGUGGCAGGAGUAACGAACGGAUUAUCUCAGGCAACGCAUGGAACGCAUGGAGUGUCAAUUGUUGCUACA
Molecule: RNA transcript, 2989 nt
Organism: Drosophila obscura
Lineage: Eukaryota; Metazoa; Arthropoda; Insecta; Diptera; Drosophilidae
Gene: spin
Gene name: protein spinster
Exons: 9
Source: RefSeq, a predicted model, not a curated record